CCUACGGGAGGCAGCAGUGGGGGAUAUUGCACAAUGGGCGGAACCCUGAUGCAGCGACGCCGCGUGUGUGAAGGAGCGUUUCGGCGCGUAAAGCCCUAUCGGCAGGGAAGAAGAUGACGGUACCUGACCAAGCAGCCCCGGCGAAAUACGUGCCAGCAGCCGCGGGAAGACGGAGUGCGCAAGCGUUCUCCGGAUUUACUGGGUGUAACGGGGGUGCAGACGGCAAUGCAAGCCAGGCGCGCAAGCCCCGGGCCCAACCCCGGGACUGCUCUUGGAACUGCAAGGCUGGAGUACAGGAGGGGGAGGCGGAAUUCCUGGUGUAGCGGUGAAAGGCGUAGAGAUUAGGAGGAACACCGGUGGCGAAGGCGGCCUGCUGGACAGUGACUGACGUUGAGGCGCGAAGGCGUGGGGAGCAAACAGGAUUAGAUACCCGGGUAGUC
RNAcentral lists this ribosomal RNA (440 nucleotides) under uncultured bacterium. RNAcentral describes it as "partial 16S ribosomal RNA". It matches the Rfam family "Bacterial small subunit ribosomal RNA", at positions 338 to 795 of the family's 1533-position model. The record is from RNAcentral.